RNAcentral lists this ribosomal RNA (325 nucleotides) under uncultured Bacteroidota bacterium. RNAcentral's name for it is "bacterial SSU rRNA". It matches the Rfam family "Bacterial small subunit ribosomal RNA", at positions 28 to 351 of the family's 1533-position model. The record is from RNAcentral. Lineage: Bacteria; Pseudomonadati; Bacteroidota.
GAUGAACGCUAGCGGCAGGCCUAACACAUGCAAGUCGAGGGGUAACAGAUGUAGCAAUAUAUGCUGACGACCGGCGCACGGGUGAGUAACGCGUAUGCAAUCUGCCUCUAACUGGGGAAUAGCUCCCGGAAACGGAAAUUAAUACCCCAUACUAUCACAAAUUCGCAUGUUUUUGUGAUGAAAGCUCCGGCGGUUAGAGAUGAGCAUGCGUGCCAUUAGUUUGUUGGUGAGGUAACGGCUCACCAAGACCACGAUGGUUAGGGGUCUGAGAGGAUGAUCCCCCACACUGGUACUGAGACACGGACCAGACACCUACGGGAGGCUG